Molecule: long non-coding RNA, 4830 nt
Filed under: Bemisia tabaci
Lineage: Eukaryota; Metazoa; Arthropoda; Insecta; Hemiptera; Aleyrodidae
Description: lncRNA ENSSSA2NGG011727
Source: RNAcentral
AGGGAAGAGGCCAUGCAAUAUACUGAAUCAAUCAAUGGAACCUACUUUGAAACAUCUGCUUUAAAUGAUGAUGGUAUUGAAGAUGUUUUUCUGAAUGUAGCUGUUGGUUUGAUCAAAAUGAGUAAAAACCCAAAUCUGAAGCAUAGUCUGCGGGUGUACAAUUCUGACAAUGCGCCCAAUCCAUACCUAGACGAUGCAGGAUUAACACGCUAUGGUCUUUCCAGCAUAGAAUUGAACGAACCUCUCGGCAGUGAAGCAAAGUCUCCGAUGUGUUGUUAACUUUAAGUAUUAUCUUUUCUCUUCUAUUUUAAUGUAAUGUUCUCUUCCUCACUUUCCCUGUCAUUGUACCUAUGUCAAUGACUUGACUGAUAUUGCAAUCUUUAAUCUUUUCAAUUGGACUACAUUUUGCAGUAAUGGAUUCCCAUUUCUGAUUCAUCAGUAGAAGCACCUGUCUGCAUUCUGCAUAGAGACAUUUAUGGUGUAUGAGUUGUUUUUUUAAAAUAAGCAUGAAGUAGUAGCUCCUAAUUGCAAAAUUUAGUCCGAUUUCUAUUUCAUUUUAGCAACAUUCUGAUCUUCAAAGGAAAGCAUUUAUGACAUAUUUAUGACAUUCCAAGAGAACUACUGCAUUCCAAAAACAGUAUCUAAAGCUGAGAGCACAUGUUUUCUCAUCGAUAUUUUGAGCAGAAUACAUUAAUCACAUCGAAAACUCCCAACAGUAACUUGCUAGUGAUAAAUGAACGUCUGUAGUUAAAAAAACUACUUGCAGGCCUAAUCAAUGUAGGUCACUUCAGGCAUUGAAGUCAACCUGUACGUUUGUCAGAUAACCAAAACUUGUCUUCAUACACAUUUCUUCCCCCUCUAACACAAGAUACCUGUAAUCUUGUAAAAAAAAAGUUAGUACACAGGAAAAUUCUCCCAUCGUAAAAUAUACUGAAAUUAGUCUAGUGCUGGAUUUGACUUGAAAAGAUACAAGUUUUCCCAUGGGCGAGAACUGUGGAUUAACGUAAACAAAGAUCAUCAUUUUGUUCCUUAUAGACUGAUUUCAGAAAAUUUCAAUGCAUCCAUUGUAUUAUCAGUAAAAUUUUGAUGUGGAAACAAAAACAUGAUGAUCCAAGAGUCCCGCACCAUCCUUGUAAGCCUUAGAAUUCCUGCUUUUUUUCAGGCAGGUCCUUUGAAAAUUUUGGAGGGCUCCAAAAGUCGUUUAUCUUACCCAGGAGCAAUCGUAAAAUUUCAAGUCUAUUUUUGAUUAGUCUUUCUCUAUCUUGAUUUGUUCAAAAAAAAACCAGGGGUGCAAGUGAUGCCUGGCACUAGUGGAGCGGGACUUUUGGAUCAUCCUGUAUUUUGAUGCUUCUGUCUAGUAGUCCAUUACCGCUUUCCUAUCCUUUUGUAUGUAUUAAAAAAUAUUGAAGUGUAACUUUACUAAGAAUGGAGCUUACCUUAAAUUUAUUUUACUUUAUCUAUUCUUUUGAAUUAUCAUUUAUUUUUAUAGAUCUGAUAAAAUUAAUUUUCUUGCUUUAGACUAAGGAGCGGUGUUCGAGAGGUUAGAUAUUGAUUCUUUUGUGUAAUAAGAUAGUAUAGUAUAUUUUUGAAGUUUCUGGCUUAAUUGGUACAGAUUCUUUUUGUGAGAAUGUCAUUGGAAACUGUAAUUGCAGCUGUUGUAUUUCUUUGUCUUGUUUUUUUUCUGGUGAGACACAACUUUUAGUAUCCAGAGUAAAGGUUGAAAAAAUUAUUGCAGUCAACUCUGAAUUAUUCGAAAUUCAAAGGACCAGAGACUAAUUUGAAAUCAAGGGAGUUAAGCAGUAGAAAUCGAAUUCGAGAGCUCUUUACAAAUUUUCUUCCAUUGUUUAUGUAUUACAAUGAAUGAAAAGUGCCAGACAUCGUCCUUUUGUUAUUCUGGGAAACUACGCAGUUUUCAGUUGACAGAGAGCCAAUUUGGUAUCUUCUCAAAGUUAACCUGCCAACAUUUUCGGAUCCUAGAGAGUUCCGCUGUGAAAUGUUCAAUUACCAAGGUAAUUUGUCUACAUUAGCCCCAUAAAAAAUUUGAAUAAUUCAGGGAAAAAAUACAUAAAUUUAUUUCAUACUAUCAUGGUUUUUUAAGGAAAUAUCAGUUUACUUUAUACUAAUGAGAGUUUCAAAUUAUUGAGUGUUGACUGUAAUGUUUUGAAAUUUUAUGCUCACAUGGGUCACCCUGAAAAUUGAGUAUUCAGUGGACUUCCUCUCAGAAUUUCAGUAAACUCCCUAGUGCCAAGUAUGUAAACUAACGUAUCUUUCCCAUGAAUGAUUUAAUGGAACAAUUUCUUUUGUUAAAAUUGUUUUCUGUUGUUGUUGACAUGUGCCUGAGCUGAGCUUUUUAUGCAAACGUGGAAAGACUGCUGAUGUUUUCCACGAAAAAAUUACGUGUUAAUUUACUUUCUUGGCUCUUUCGAAGUUUUUCUCUUUCUAACAUGUUCUUUAAUUUUGACUUUGUUGCUGCACGAUGGACUGAGUUUAACAAUAAGGGACAAAGUCAUAUUUUCAACUGAGUGUAAUUUUAAGCUCAUGAAAUUGAAUGAUUAUUUGGAAAUCUAUAUCAAUGACAAAAAUCAAAAUUGCCUACUAGUCUACAAAUCUUUCUUAAUACUUGAUAUUUUUCUUAUUCCUGAUAUUUGUGCGAUAGAUGGAAGGCAAUUUAACUCUGAAAUCCAAGAUAUAACUUUGUCACUCCAUAUCUCCUCAUACAUUCCUAUUUUAUUUUUUACCUUCACUGUAAUCUCUCUUUUUCUUUCUCCCUUUUGAGGUGAAAAUAACUGUAAAAGUUCAGGCACUAUUCAUCGUACUACUACUUACCAAUAGUUCUAGGUGUUCCAUAUACCUAAAAUUGUUUUGUGUUUCAAUAAUUAAUUUAAGUUCAAAAUCACCAAGUGCCAAAUUAUGCAAACACGAAUAAUUAUCAUGAAUCUUUGCUAAACCUAAACAUUUAGCAGUCUAAAAUAAGGGUGAAAUUCCUUCAUAACCAUUCUGUGCUUCUUUUUUAUCAUCAUCAUCAGUACAUGUAAUAUUCAAUCUACUUAUCAUCACACCUAAGCAUCAUUUAUUUUUUAAUAACCGUGUGCCUUAAUGUAAUAUGAACACUAACCAUAAUUUCCUGUGCCUUGAAGUAUUUCCUUCAUUUCUAUCGAUGGACAAAUAUUUUCAAUAUUUUUUUUUUUUAAUUUUACGAUAAAUUUUGAGCAGUGGAAAUUGUUUUUGAUUUUUCUUCUCAAUUUUAUAUUUAUUGCCAAGAAGAAACCUUGAACAAGGCAGAGUAAAAAAGAGCCACUUUUUUAUCAGAUUGUAAGAAAUGCCUAAUUGCCCAAGUAUUAAAUAUUUCAUGUAUGGUUAAGUGGAAACAUAUUCAAUACAUCAUAAAAAUUAAGUAAAGUUUGCUAUCAAAAGCAGGUUUACAGCCCAGCAGUGCUCUUGAAGUGAAUAUUUCGGUGGAUAAAAGGCACACUGAAAUCUCAUAGCUCUUAUGCCCUUCUUUCAAUAAAUUACUAGAUUUUUGUCUCUAUAUAUGGACUUAAUGCUCAUCAAAAUGUCAACCUCCUCCUCAAUUUUUUUUAGUGCGAUGGUGUUACAUGAAUUGUGCGCAUUCUGGUACCAAUUAGACGUAAUGUCUAUGUGCAUCUUUCUAUAGUACAAUCAUUUUCCAAUUGUUGCAUUUCAGGUUUUACGCCAUAUGCAAGUGUGCAAUAUUCUAAUAGCAAAUUUUUCUUUGACAAAUUAAAGCAUACAUUUAUUUGUACAAAACUCAGACAGUUUUAUUUGUCUCUCUACUGAGGUUUAGAGAGUAGUAUCUUGUUUUAUUAUCACUAAGUUAACUUAUUAAAACUGACAAAAUGAACCCAUAUGAAAAGAAGGAAAAAAACUUUACAUUGCAUAGGUAUACUAGUGAGCAAGUAAAUUUCAAAUUCAUUCUGUGGUUUCAAUUGUUGAGCAUGUGUUCUGAUUUGUGAUUAUGUCUAAUUUUCAAGAAAAUUCUUUUUUUAUUGAUUGUAAUAUAGGGUAACAGAGCCAUCAGCUUGCAUUUUGGCGUACAAUAUCUUCAUUUCUGCAAGCUUAUUUUGUUGAAUUGGUAAUUGCUGAAGUUUGCAUAACAGGUUGAAUACAAAAGAGCGAGGAUUUUGUUUAUGUAGCCAAACCCUUUCUGGUUGGAAUCAGCUUCUAUUAUUUUAGAGAAGUAAAAGGUCCUUUUUUUCAUACUUUUUUUUGGCAUUUUUAUUUCUAUGGCUCUCCCACCAUAUUGGUUGUUCUUUACAAUUUUAUUUUAUGAAUGAUCACUGUUUGCAAUGGUGGCUCAUGCAUAGAUUCAAGGAAAGUUAAAUGCCCGCAGAAAUAUUUAAUCCAACUCCUCUCUUCAAUUUUAUUUGCCAUUCUUCCUGCUAUAACAGUGGUUUCAAUUAUGAAUCCAUAUUCAUCACACGGGAACGAUUCCUUUUUCUAAGGAAACGAUAAAUGUGUAAGUAAGUACUCAGCCUGAUUUUAGGGGCCAUUUGGAUAAGGAUUGUUCCUCUGUAACUAAUAUGGGUUCAUAAAGGAACAUGAUGGAAACUUACUCAUUUUUCAUAUUGCCAUGAGCUGCCUAUGGUUGUUAUUAUUAAGUAUGGGUGAUCAUCAAUAAUUUAUCCUACUUAUCAAUUUUAUAUCUUUACCUAUGUAUUACUUUUUUAGGCACUAUUAUGUUUUAUGUACCAUUUUGCAAUAAAAAUUCUUUUUUUAAACGAAAAUAAAUACACUUUUUGUCUAAUCCUCCAUAAGCUCCCACUCAGUGAACAUUGUUAGGAUUAUGAACGUUUAAUUAUCAUAUAUUAU